RNAcentral lists this ribosomal RNA (253 nucleotides) under uncultured bacterium. Its description in RNAcentral is "partial 16S ribosomal RNA". It matches the Rfam family "Bacterial small subunit ribosomal RNA", at positions 524 to 776 of the family's 1533-position model. The record is from RNAcentral.
UACGGGGGGGGCAAGCGUUGUUCGGAAUUACUGGGCGUAAAGGGCUCGUAGGCGGCCAACUAAGUCGGACGUGAAAUCCCUCGGCUUAACCGGGGAACUGCGUCCGAUACUGGAUGGCUUGAGUUUGGGAGAGGGAUGCGGAAUUCCAGGUGUAGCGGUGAAAUGCGUAGAUAUCUGGAGGAAUACCGGUGGCGAAGGCGGCAUCCUGGACCGACAUUGACGCUGAUGAGCGAAAGCUAGGGGAGCAAACGGG